CUUGACGAGUCACACUUGGAGCUUCAUGGGGAAGGUAGGAGUGCAGGUAAGAUGCUUACCUGGCCUGGCGGAGGAGACUGGGACUACCACAGUCGCGAGUAAAACCAGGCACAAGGAGUCAACAGGAAGGAGGUCCUGCUUAAUGAUGCUCACUCACUGCUCUUUUAGCCCAGAAGGACGGAUGAGAUACGAGGUAACACAGGGUGAGAAUCCAGGACAGCCCCCCCGACCCCCGUCAAGAAUUAGCCCACCAAAGGUCUCGAGUGUGUCCCAGGAGCGUGUCCGCAGUGUGUCCAAUGGGGAUUGUCUUCGUGACUUGAGAGCAAAGUGACAAAGCUUUGUAGCCGCGCUUCUCUGCAGGGGAAAAGCAAGGACACUGUAGUGGAUGUGUUAAAACAAUAUGGAGGAGAUGGGCCUUACCUAGCAGGCUGCCGUCCGGCUUGAUGCAGACGGAGGCGAGGCUGAAGAGGGUGAAGAUGACGAAGGCGGCGACGAUGAAGGUCAGCUCAAAGCCGGAGAAAGGCAGUUCCAUGGACACAAGUGCAAAAGAGGCAGCUGUCAAGAGUACCUACACUCGCACAGCGCGACGCCUCCAGGAAGCAAAUACGACCAGAUCCUAGAGCAAGUUCUACAUGAAAGGUCUUCCCCACCGACCUUAGAGCAAUCCAGCUCCUAAACAAGAUGGAAACAUGUGGCGACUAAGGACCGCUGCUUAGAGGGGAUGGAAGAAAAAAGCCUUUUAAACCACAGGUGUCAAACUCAAGACCCUGGGGCCAGAUUUGGCCCGCCACUUCAUUUUAUUUGGCCCUCGAAAGCCUGGG
Nerophis lumbriciformis (worm pipefish) is the source of this 821-nucleotide long non-coding RNA. RefSeq lists it as uncharacterized. The record is from RefSeq and is a predicted model, not a curated record. Lineage: Eukaryota; Metazoa; Chordata; Actinopteri; Syngnathiformes; Syngnathidae.